Molecule: ribosomal RNA, 253 nt
Filed under: uncultured bacterium
Lineage: Bacteria
Description: partial 16S ribosomal RNA
Rfam family: Bacterial small subunit ribosomal RNA
Source: RNAcentral
UACGUAGGGGGCAAGCGUUGUCCGGAUUCAUUGGGCGUAAAGAGCGUGUAGGCGGCCAGGUAGGUCGGUUGUGAAAACUGGAGGCUCAACCUUCAGAGGUCGACCGAAACCAUCUGGCUAGAGUCCGGGAGAGGAGAGUGGAAUUCCUGGUGUAGCGGUGAAAUGCGCAGAUAUUCGGAAGAACACCCGUGGCGAAGGCGGUUCUCUGGGACGGUACUGACGCUGAGACGCGAAAGCGUGGGGAGCGAACAGG